UCAGCGGGAGGCGGGUGUCGCGGAAGGGGUCGGAGUCUACCCCACGGCACCGUGUGCCGGCAAGGCUUAGCGAGCGUGUGCUUUCUCGUGUUCCUGUAGACGCUGAAGAGGAACCCGGCGACGCAGGAAGAUCCCCGUUAGCGCGCGUGGCGUUUUCUUCCGUCGAAGAUGGGUUCGGUCCCUCGGCCCUCUGAAAGCUAAGUGGAGGCACGGGGGCUGGGGAGGGGCCGGGAAUCGCAGGGACGGGGGGUUUAGCUCCGCUAAGGGCAAGGGCCGUCCAGUAAGCAGGUGGGGCGGUGCGUGGUGUCAAAGGGAAGAUGUGCCUCGUGCCUUUAUACUGUGCGCUCGCUCUGCUUAGCGAGCGUGUGUUUUCUUGUGUUGCUGUAGAUGCUGAGGAGGAACCCGGUGAUGCUGGAAUAUCCCUGUCAGCGCACGUGGCGUUUUCUUCUGUUGAAGACGGAUUCAGUUUCUUGGCCCUCUGAAAGCUAAGUGGAGGCUGGGGGCCUGGGAAGGGGCUGAAAACUGCAGGGAGGGGGGUUAAGUUCCGUUCGGGGCAAGGGUUCUCCAGGAACAGUCUCCCUUGGGCAGGUGAAGGGUCCAUGGAAUUUCACAGCGCGAUGCCAGCGUGCGCCGGGCAGGGCAGCUCCAGCCAACGUCUGCGUCGCUGUGUAGUUCGGGAAGCCUGCCUUGCGCCUGUGUGACGAUCCUGGGGUCUCAUCGCGUUCGAGGGACACAAAAGUUUACUCGGGUGCCAUUCCGGGAUCUGCAACGCCGGUGCCGAUUGGCGUAGCGCCAAUUGGGUGCCGGUUCUGUCGUAUCAGCAGUUGAAAGCGUGGCAGGUCCUUGCGUUUUGGAUGUUUCUGGUCAGUUGUGUGUUAUGGCGUUGUUGAGGGCUGCGUUGGCAGCUCUGCUCUCUACCCAUCCAGUCUUGGGGACUGGCACUUCUUUCCAGCAUCUCAAAGCGUUUGCGCCAGUGCCGCCGCCUCUGUGUGUGUUUGCGUCAGUGCCGCCGCCUCUGUGUGUGUUUGCGCCAGUGCCACCGUCUCAUAAGGGGCCGUGACGUUCGGCUCUCAUUUUUCUGGGGUUGCAGUAGAGGCUCCUCGCCUCACCACUGCCUCCCCGCAGGUUAUUUUUACUGUUGCCGUCUCUAGUUCGGAGUUAUUUUUGUUGCGGAGCAUUUUUGGUGUUAUUGCUGUCGGGUCGUCUAUAAUGUUGUGUGGAGCAUCUGUCUAAGCACGUGCGCGUUUGGCUCGGAGCUGCUCUGCCCGGAGGUGUAGAGUCAGGAGCGGGCGGACUGAGUUUAGGAGUCCACGAUUGAUCUGUGGACACGUUAUCCUGCGUAGGCAGAGGUUCUGUGGUCAUCUGGGACGGAGUAGCCAUGGGCAGGGGAGCGGACAGUCCAUUUCCCAGUGGUCUUUGGGACUCAAUUAGACCUUGUUGUGGGAUUCCUGAAUAGAAAGCAGACCUUUGGAAUGGUCAAGCUGUUGAUGAGCUCCUGGGUAACUUGUUGAAUACCUUGAUUUCAGAUGCAGAGGGACAACUCGGCACGAACGAGCGACGGAGGAGGCGAGCCGAGCGCCGAGUGAAGCAAAGUGGAAAGCUGGGUAUCGGCAGCGCAGCUCCUCUGGCAAGGCGUCACCAGCGCUGAGGGUUUGUGACCGCGCCAGCGGCAGGACACGCUGACCGGACCGCCCUGGAGCUCAGCAGGAGGUGCUGAAGAGGAACCCGGCGACGCGGGAAGACGGCCGUUCGCGCACGUGGCGUUUUCCUCUGCCGAAGAUGGGUUCGGUCCCUCGGCCCUCUGAAAGUUAAGUGGAGGCGCGAGGGCUGGGAAGGGGCUGGGAAUGGCAGGGACGGGGGGUUUAGCUCUGCUAAGGGCAAGGGCCGUCCAGGAAUCGCGCCCUUGGCGCGGGUCAAGGGCCUGGGGACCUUUACCGUGCGAUGCCAGCGUGUGCCGGGCAGGGCAGCUCCAGCCUGCGUCUGCGUUGUGGUGUAGCUCGGGAAGCCUGCCUUGCGCCCGUCAGCCGAUCCUGGGGUCUCGUUGCGUUCAAGGGGCACGAAAGGCCUCUCGGGUGCCAUCCCGGCAUCUGGAACGCCGGUGCCGAUUGGGCGCCGGUUUUCUGGUGUCGGCAGCCGAAAGUGUGGCGGGUUCUUGCCUUUCGGCCGCUUCUGUUCAGGGGUGUUUGCGGCGUUGUCCCGGGCUGUGCCGGCAGCCGUGCUCUCUACCCAUCCAGUCUAAGGGACUGGCACUUCUUCCCAACAUCUUGAAGUUUUUAGCCUUUGCCGCAGCUUUUUGCGCUGGUGUUGCUCUCUCUGUUUGUUGUGGCGGUGCCAUUUCAUAAGGGACCGUGGAGUUCUGUUCCUUUUUAUUCUGGUGUUGCAGCAGAGGCUCCUUGCCUUCCCACUGCCUCCCUGCAGGUUGUUUUGAUCGAUGCCAUGUCUCUUCCUGGAGUCGUUGAACAUUUUUGGUGCUGUUUCAGUCAUGUGGUCUAUCACGUUCUGUGGAGUCUUGUUGUGCACAUGUGCAUGUUGGGUGGGAGCUGUUGUGCCCAGAGUUGUAGAGUCGGGGUGGGUGGACUGAGCUCUAGGUGUCCACCGUUCAUUUGUUGACAUAUUAAAUUGCGUAGGCAAAGUUUGUACGAUCAUCUGGCAUGGAGCUGCGAUGGGUAGGAGGGUGGACAUUCCCUGUACUGGUGUUUUACAGUUCAUACUCAAGACUGUUGUUAACUAAUGUUUUCUGUAGUGUGAUGUUUUUUCAGAGCAUUCUAACUUUUUUUUUUUUUUUUAGGUGACCACAUUGUUAAUAUGACUGUAAAUAGUAUGUAAAGCUGCACAAAUCAACUACCUGUCUGAGGUCAGUACAAAGGAUCCUCUGAGAAUCAAGAAGACCCCAGACUCAGCUAUUGCUAUUGGACUGUAUUGUCACUUUUCCAUGUGAGAGAUGGGACCUGAGACACCAAUGUGAUGUUUACCGAGUUCACUUUAUUGUCGGACUUUAUACAAAGCUGCCCUCUCCACGUGCCUUGCAACAGUGUGAUUGGUUGUAUCACGUGCUAUACAAUAACGUGAUAGGCUGCAUGCACUGUCCACGUGCUCUGCACACGUGUGUCUGGCGCUUGCUCAUUCACUGUUACCUUCUCAUGGGGCUCGUUUUGUUUCUUUUGUCUCUGGCUUCACCUCUCAGCCAGGCUGGCGACAACCCCAUCCCCCCGGGGCGGGGGGGGACUCUGCCUCGCUAUCUCCCCCUCGUUAAUAUUUUAUUAAAUAAAAAAUACCCUGUAUUUCACACUGUCUUCAAAGCAUACAGAUUAAGAACAUUAAGGCUAAUAUAAUUACAAUUAACAAGAACAGUUCCAUUUUCAAUAUUCCUUUUAACCAGCAGGGUAUCCAACUCAGAAAACCCAACAUCUUCUGUUAUUUUAAUGUUCAGCAAAUCUUCUAUCUUAUGAAGAGUUUGGUUGUAUGUGUUGUUUGAACUUAAAAUAUAGCUGUGACCAUGGCCCAUAACACAAAAUCAAUCGCUGCUCUGUUUUACAAAGUGGUGUGACAAUCUUGAAGCACUGCCCCCCAUGCUUAGCAGAACUAAGACCUUGUUAUGCCUUAAACAUCUGGUUUUUGUUAUGUGGGGAGGAAGAGAGAGAUGACACCUCAUCUUAUCUUUCCCAAAGUUUUAUGGCUAUGAAGGCAGACGCCUUGGAAGAUAAGGACAAUUGUCAGUGUUGCCGUGAAAGGUUUCACGGCCUAAUUGGGAUGAUAGAGAUGAACCAUCUGUCGAACAGCCAACUACCAGAAGAGACCACGAACCAACAGCUACCCCUGAUGGGCAAGACAUCUCGCUUCUGCUCAGUACCGUGAACUUCUCCUAGUUUGAAGACCCCAGAGCCGUUCCAGAAGAGUCUUCCUAAUUAGCAGGAAGAGCGAGCAGAGGGAGGAGAUGAACCGCCUUCUACUAUCUUGCAUGUAAAUGAACCGGCUUAUUAAACAACCUCACGUACGAUACAGGUCACCAGCAUGUAAAUCUUCAACGCGUCCCCGACUCCAGAGGUCGUCACAGGACCGACGUGCCUGUGGAGUGGUGAUAUCUUACUCUUUGUCUCUCUCUCUCUGCCUUUCUUUUUCUGAUAUCUUAGUUUUCCUCUUCUCUCUCUUUCUCCCUUUUCCUUACAAUGUUAUUUAUAUGUUUAAGUUCUGCUGCUAAAGUCUUGUUAAGUUUCGCAUUACAGUUACUAAUUGUUGCCAAUCCACUGCUUUUAGAAGGGUUUUUGCUGACAAUGUAUUGAUAAGUUUUGUGCUAUUGUAACAUACUUUUGCCAAGUCACUGAUUGCUGUAAUUUGUAUACGAGCACGCUCUUCUAGUAAAUUCAUAA
Columba livia (rock pigeon) is the source of this 4367-nucleotide long non-coding RNA. RefSeq lists it as uncharacterized. The transcript is spliced from 4 exons. The record is from RefSeq and is a predicted model, not a curated record. Lineage: Eukaryota; Metazoa; Chordata; Aves; Columbiformes; Columbidae.